RNAcentral lists this ribosomal RNA (462 nucleotides) under uncultured bacterium. RNAcentral's name for it is "bacterial SSU rRNA". It matches the Rfam family "Bacterial small subunit ribosomal RNA", at positions 338 to 795 of the family's 1533-position model. The record is from RNAcentral.
CCUANGGGUGGCUGCAGUCGAGAAUCUUCCGCAAUGGGCGAAAGCCUGACGGAGCGACGCCGCGUGCGGGAUGAAGGCCUUCGGGUUGUAAACCGCUGUCAGUGGGGAGGAAAUACAUGGGGGUUCUCCCUCGUGUUUGACCGAUCCGCAGAGGAAGCACAGGCUAAGUUCGUGCCAGCAGCCGCGGUAACACGAACUGUGCAAACGUUAUUCGGAAUCACUGGGCUUAAAGAGUUCGUAGGCGGCACGUUAAGUCGGGUGUGAAAUCCCUCGGCUCAACCGAGGAAUUGCGUCCGAAACUGGCGUGCUUGAGUGAGAUAGAGGUGAGCGGAACUGAUGGUGGAGCGGUGAAAUGCGUUGAUAUCAUCAGGAACACCGGUGGCGAAAGCGGCUCACUGGGUCUCAACUGACGCUGAGGAACGAAAGCUAGGGGAGCGAACGGGAUUAGAUACCCCUNUANUC